GAUGAACGCUGGCGGCGUGCCUAAUACAUGCAAGUCGAGCGAACAGACGAGGAGCUUGCUCCUCUGACGUUAGCGGCGGACGGGUGAGUAACACGUGGAUAACCUACCUAUAAGACUGGGAUAACUUCGGGAAACCGGAGCUAAUACCGGAUAAUAUAUUGAACCGCAUGGUUCAAUAGUGAAAGACGGUUUUGCUGUCACUUAUAGAUGGAUCCGCGCCGCAUUUGUUAGUUGGUAAGGUAACGGCUUACCAAGGCAACGAUGCGUAGCCGACCUGAGAGGGUGUUCGGCCACACUGGAACUGAGACACGGUCCAGACUCCUACGGGAGGCAGCAGUAGGGAAUCUUCCGAAAUGGGAAAGCCUGACGGAGCAACGCCGCGUGAGUGAUGAAGGUCUUCGGAUCGUAAAACUCUGUUAUUAGGGAAGAACAAAUGUGUAAGUAACUAUGCACGUCUUGACGGUACCUAAUCAGAAAGCCACGGCUAACUACGUG
This 495-nucleotide ribosomal RNA is filed under the name uncultured bacterium. Its description in RNAcentral is "partial 16S ribosomal RNA". It matches the Rfam family "Bacterial small subunit ribosomal RNA", at positions 28 to 507 of the family's 1533-position model. The record is from RNAcentral.